UACGUAGGGUGCAAGCGUUGUCCGGAAUUAUUGGGCGUAAAGAGCUCGUAGGCGGUCUGUCGCGUCGAAUGUGAAAACCCGGGGCUCAACCCCGGGCCUGCAUUCGAUACGGGCAGACUAGAGUUCGGUAGGGGAGACUGGAAUUCCUGGUGUAGCGGUGAAAUGCGCAGAUAUCAGGAAGAACACCCGUGGCUAAGGCGGCUCUCUAGUACGGUACUGACGCUGAGACGCGAAAGCGUGGGGAGCGAACAGG
Molecule: ribosomal RNA, 253 nt
Filed under: uncultured bacterium
Lineage: Bacteria
Description: partial 16S ribosomal RNA
Rfam family: Bacterial small subunit ribosomal RNA
Source: RNAcentral